CCUACGGGAGGCAGCAGUGGGGAAUAUUGCGCAAUGGGCGAAAGCCUGACGCAGCAACGCCGCGUGGGGGAUGAAGGCCUUCGGGUUGUAAACCUCUUUCAGCAGGGAAGAAGCGAAAGUGACGGUACCUGCAGAAGAAGCACCGGCUAACUACGUGCCAGCAGCCGCGGUAAUACGUAGGGUGCAAGCGUUGUCCGGAUUUAUUGGGCGUAAAGAGCUCGUAGGCGGUUAGUCACGUCGGAUGUGAAAUCCCGGAGCUUAACUCCGGGCCUGCAUUCGAUACGGGCUGACUCGAGUGUUGUAGGGGAGACUGGAGCUCCUGGUGUAGCGGUGAAAUGCGCAGAUAUCAGGAAGAACACCGGUGGCGAAGGCGGGUCUCUGGGCAACUACUGACGCUGAGGAGCGAAAGCGUGGGGAGCAAACAGGAUUAGAUACCCUGGUAGUCCACGCCGUAAACGGUGGGCGCUAGGUGUGGGGAACAUUCCACGUUCUCUGCGCCGCAGCUAACGCAUUAAGCGCCCCGCCUGGGGAGUACGGCCGCAAGGCUAAAACUCAAAGGAAUUGACGG
This 568-nucleotide ribosomal RNA is filed under the name uncultured bacterium. RNAcentral describes it as "bacterial SSU rRNA". It matches the Rfam family "Bacterial small subunit ribosomal RNA", at positions 338 to 916 of the family's 1533-position model. The record is from RNAcentral.